GAUGAACGCUGGCGGCGUGCCUAAUACAUGCAAGUCGAGCGAACAGACGAGGAGCUUGCUCCUCUGACGUUAGCGGCGGACGGGUGAGUAACACGUGGAUAACCUACCUAUAAGACUGGGAUAACUUCGGGAAACCGGAGCUAAUACCGGAUAGCAUGUUGAACCGCAUGGUUCAACAGUGAAAGACGGUCUUGCUGUCACUUAUAGAUGGAUCCGCGCCGCAUUAGCUAGUUGGUAAGGUAACGGCUUACCAAGGCAACGAUGCGUAGCCGACCUGAGAGGGUGAUCGGCCACACUGGAACUGAGACACGGUCCAGACUCCUACGGGAGGCAGCAGUAGGGAAUCUUCCGCAAUGGGCGAAAGCCUGACGGAGCAACGCCGCGUGAGUGAUGAAGGUCUUCGGAUCGUAAAACUCUGUUAUUAGGGAAGAACAAAUGUGUAAGUAACUAUGCACGUCUUGACGGUACCUAAUCAGAAAGCCACGGCUAACUACGUG
Molecule: ribosomal RNA, 497 nt
Filed under: uncultured bacterium
Lineage: Bacteria
Description: partial 16S ribosomal RNA
Rfam family: Bacterial small subunit ribosomal RNA
Source: RNAcentral